Molecule: long non-coding RNA, 438 nt
Organism: Urocitellus parryii (Arctic ground squirrel)
Lineage: Eukaryota; Metazoa; Chordata; Mammalia; Rodentia; Sciuridae
Source: RefSeq, a predicted model, not a curated record
GCCAAGGGACCCAGCCAAGGAGGGGGCGGCCGGCGGGAGGGUCCGGGAACGCGCGGCCUUGCCCUGUCGCCGUCCGGGCCCAGCUGAGGAAAACGCUGGACAGGCCGACUUGGGAGUCCCUUGGGAAGGCGCCUUCCUCCACCCCGCUAAGCCUUUAAUCAAGCUGUUUCCUCUGCUGGAAUGCCCUUCCCGCACCAUUCUAGUGAAACGGAAUGCUGCUGCUACCCAUCCUCUACUUGAUUCAGACGUUGGCCCUGUGGAAAUCCCUCCCACCCCACUCUAUAGAUCCACAGACCUAGAAAAUGAGUAAGCCUGAAGAGGAAGAGGACCCUGUUAACAGGCCUCUACAGACCGUUUUCACCUUGGAUAGAGGUUCUUCACUUUAGGUCUGGUCUCCAGGAUCUCUGGCCAUGGCUCCCUGUGCUCUGGGGUUCACAA